This 1209-nucleotide long non-coding RNA is filed under the name Felis catus (domestic cat). Its description in RNAcentral is "lncRNA (ENSFCAG00000051783.1)". Lineage: Eukaryota; Metazoa; Chordata; Mammalia; Carnivora; Felidae. The record is from RNAcentral.
ACAUGGCCAACGAAGUUAUAAGAAACUUCUGCUUCUGCCAUUAAGAGCUCUCAUUAGCUCUCCUUAGAAGGACAAUGGGGAACCAGAGAAAUAAUUUGAACAUGAUAAUCCCAUGAAUACUCGAAGCAAGGUUUGGAAACCUGAAAAGAUCCUAGGUAGUCACAAAGUGGUUCAGCACAGAAGCUGAGGUCUUAGAAUCUAAAAGAAAACAAGGGGCUCUACCCAAGGCAGCAGAAAGAAGGAAAACUGGAGGGACGGAAUCUCUGGUCCGGCCAAGGAAAGUGAGAGCAGCCAGUAGGCCAGGUGGUGCCUGUGGGAGACGGAUGGUAGGGCCAAGUGCCAGUCGAGAGCCAAAGAGAGGAGAAAAGAAGUAUCCUCGGGAACUGUAAGGUUCUGAACGUGAAUGAGUCAAGGUGCCUUAAAGGUAUGAUGAGAUGAAGUAAGAUGUAAAAAUAUCUUAAACAUCUUUCCUUAAUACAGAAAGCUAACUAUAUGAAAUGAGAGGUGCAUUUAAAGGCUGUCAAAAAGAGAAUCUUCUCGAAGACAAAUGGUAUACCUCUUUGGCCAGUCACAAUUCCUAAUGAUGUCAUAAUUUAAAUACACCUACCCUGCCCUCAGGUCUACAACGGGCUCCUCAAACUGUCUCACAACCUUACGACCCUGGUCACGACUAACCGGACCGGCAGUGAGCCGUCGGUCCAACACCAGGAAACUCAUUUGCGAGUCAGCGGCAAUAUUAUCCUUCUCAAGAAUUUCUAUGAAGACUAACUAUCCUCAGAAGGCUAAAAGCACCACCACCCUUCUGGAAUAUACCUGGGCAGUAAAUUCCCCAACCGUGUGGAAUCAUGAUUCUCCUGGGUAACACCUGCCUCUGAAAAUUUAGAGUGCAUCACUGCUACAGUCUUUUGUAACUGGUUGAUGGAACAACAACAACAACAACAACAAAAAUAAAAAUGAAGUUGUCAAAUUCCAAACUGUAGGAUAAAUGAGUUUCAAAGGACCUGAAGAUGUAUCUUAUGUUAUGAAGAGGAAACUGAGGCUAAGAGAGAGGAGAUCAGUUGCUGCAGGCACAGGCAUGUGCACUACCCGGAACGGCUAUGAAGGCUGCCUUCACCAAGCAACUUUGACUCCUUGCCCGGAUGACUGCUUCCCUCCGGAUGCCUGAUGCCUUCUCGUGAAAACAGAAGAACCAGUCGCCAGCACCCAUUU